UACGGAGGGUGCAAGCGUUAUCCGGAAUCACUGGGCGUAAAGGGCGCGUAGGCGGUCUGUUAAGUCCGAUGUUAAAGACCGGGGCUCAACCCCGGCACGGCGUUGGAUACUGGCAGGCUUGACGGCUGGAGAGGCGAGUGGAAUUACCAGUGUAGCGGUGGAAUGCGUAGAUACUGGUAGGAACACCCAUGGCGAAGGCAGCUCGCUGGACAGCACGUGACGCUGAGGCGCGAAAGUGUGGGGAGCAAACCGGAUUAGAUACCCGGGUAGUCCACACCCUAAACGAUGCAUACUUGGUGUUGGCCCGUUGGGGUCAGCGCCGGAGCUAACGCGUUAAGUAUGCCGCCUGGGAAGUACGGCCGCAAGGUUGAA
Molecule: ribosomal RNA, 372 nt
Filed under: uncultured bacterium
Lineage: Bacteria
Description: bacterial SSU rRNA
Rfam family: Bacterial small subunit ribosomal RNA
Source: RNAcentral